UUCCGGUUGAUCCUGCCGGACCCGACUGCUAUCAGAGUGGGACUAAGCUAUGCGAGUCGACGUAGCAAUGCGUGGCGAACGGCUCAGUAACACGUAGUCAACAUGCCCAGGGGACGUGGAUAACCUCGGGAAACUGAGAAUAAACCACGAUAGGUCACGAUUUCUGGAAUGGAUCAUGGCAUAAAUCUACAUGGCCCCUGGAUUGGACUGCGGCCGAUCAGGCAGUUGGUGAGGUAAUGGCCCACCAAACCUAUAACCGGUACGGGCUCUGAGAGGAGAAGCCCGGAGAUGGGCACUGAGACAAGGGCCCAGGCCCUAUGGGGCGCAGCAGGCGCGAAACCUCUGCAAUAGGCGAAAGCCUGACAGGGUUACUCUGAGUGAUUUCCGCUAAGGGGAUCUUUUGGCACCUCUAAAAAUGGUGCAGAAUAAGGGGUGGGCAAGUCUGGUGUCAGCCGCCGCGGUAAUACCAGCACCCCGAGUGGUCGGGACGAUUAUUGGGCCUAAAGCAUCCGUAGCCGGUUCUGCAAGUCUUCCGUUAAAUCCAGCCGCUCAACGGAUGGGCCGCGGAGGAUACUAUAGGACUAGGAGGCGGGAGAGGCAAGCGGUACUCAGUGGGUAGGGGUAAAAUCCUUUGAUCCAUUGAAGACCACCAGUGGCGAAGGCGGCUUGCCAGAACGCGCUCGACGGUGAGGGAUGAAAGCUGGGGGAGCAAACCGGAUUAGAUACCCGGGUAGUCCCAG
This 740-nucleotide ribosomal RNA is filed under the name uncultured archaeon. Its description in RNAcentral is "bacterial SSU rRNA". It matches the Rfam family "Archaeal small subunit ribosomal RNA", at positions 1 to 750 of the family's 1478-position model. The record is from RNAcentral.